GACGAACGCUGGCGGCGUGCUUAACACAUGCAAGUCGAACGGUAAGGCUCCAGCUUGCUGGGGUACACGAGUGGCGAACGGGUGAGUAACACGUGGGUGACCUGCCCUGCACUUCGGGAUAAGCCUGGGAAACUGGGUCUAAUACCGGAUAGGACCGCACCGUGAGGGUGUGGUGGAAAGUUUUUUCGGUGUGGGAUGGGCCCGCGGCCUAUCAGCCUGUUGGUGGGGUAAUGGCCUACCAAGGCGGCGACGGGUAGCCGGCCUGAGAGGGUGGACGGCCACAUUGGGACUGAGACACGGCCCAGACUCCUACGGGAGGCAGCAGUGGGGAAUAUUGCACAAUGGGCGGAAGCCUGAUGCAGCGACGCCGCGUGGGGGAUGACAGCCUUCGGGUUGUAAACUCCUUUCACCAUCGACGAAGGGUUUCUGAACGGUAGAUGGAGAAGAAGCACCGGCUAACUACGUGCCAGCAGCCGCGGUAAUACGUAGGGUGCGAGCGUUGUCCGGAAUUACUGGGCGUAAAGAGCUCGUAAGUGGUUCGUCGCGUCCUCUGUGAAAAUCCCGGGGGUUUAACUCCGGGCGUGCAGGCGAUACGGGCAUAACUUGAGUACUGUAAGGGAGACUGGAAUUCCUGGUGUAGCGGUGAAAUGCGCAGAUAUCAGGAGGAACACCGGUGGCGAAUGCGGGUCUCUGGGCAGUAACUGACGCUGAGGAGCGAAAGCAUGGGGAGCGAACAGGAUUAGAUACCCUGGUAGUCCAUGCCGUAAACGGUGGGCGCUAGGUGUGGGUUUCCUUCCACGGGAUCCGUGCCGUAGCUAACGCAUUAAGCGCCCCGCCUGGGGAGUACGGCCGCAAGGCUAAAACUCAAAGGAAUUGACGGGGGCCCGCACAAGCGGCGGAGCAUGUGGAUUAAUUCGAUGCAACGCGAAGAACCUUACCUGGGCUUGACAUAUACAGGAUCGCGCCAGAGAUGGUGUUUCCCUUGUGGCUUGUAUACAGGUGGUGCAUGGUUGUCGUCAGCUCGUGUCGUGAGAUGUUGGGUUAAGUCCCGCAACGAGCGCAACCCUUGUCUUAUGUUGCCAGCACGUUGUGGUGGGGACUCGUAAGAAACUGCCGGGGUUAACUCGGAGGAAGGUGGGGAUGACGUCAAAUCAUCAUGCCCCUUAUGUCCAGGGCUUCACACAUGCUACAAUGGUCGGUACAGUGGGUUGCCAGUCCGUGAGGGCGAGCUAAUCCCGCAAAGCCGGUCUCAGUUCGGAUCGGGGUCUGCAACUCGACCCCGUGAAGUCGGAGUCGCUAGUAAUCGCAGAUCAGCAACGCUGCGGUGAAUACGUUCCCGGGCCU
Molecule: ribosomal RNA, 1344 nt
Filed under: uncultured bacterium
Lineage: Bacteria
Description: 16S ribosomal RNA
Rfam family: Bacterial small subunit ribosomal RNA
Source: RNAcentral